Long non-coding RNA from Sebastes umbrosus (honeycomb rockfish), 108 nucleotides. RefSeq lists it as uncharacterized. Lineage: Eukaryota; Metazoa; Chordata; Actinopteri; Perciformes; Sebastidae. The transcript has 3 exons. The record is from RefSeq and is a predicted model, not a curated record.
UGAGAAUAAAAUUCUGGUAAUCCGUUUUUCUAAGUCUUAUCUAAAUUGUUUUCUCUCCUGUGUUUAUGACAUAAGAACAGGUGGAAAAAGUUUUUUUGCCAGGAUAAU